AGCCGCGGUAAUACGUAGGUGGCAAGCGUUAUCCGGAAUUAUUGGGCGUAAAGCGCGCGCAGGUCGGUUUCUUAAGUCUGAUGUGAAAGCCCACGGGCUCAACCGUGGGAGGGUCUAUUGGAAACUGGGAGACUUGAGUGCAGAAGAGGAAAGUGGAAUUCCAUGUGUAGCGGUGAAAUGCGUAGAGAUAUGGAGGAACACCAGUGGCGAAGGCGACUUUCUGGUCUGUAACUGACACUGAGGCGCGAAAGCGUGGGGUAGCAAACAGGAUUAGAUACCCUGGUAGUCCACGCCGUAAACGAUGAGUGCUAAGUGUUAGGAGGGUUUCCGCCCUUUAGUGCUGAAGUUAACGCAUUAAGCACUCCGCCUGGGGAGUACGGCCGCAGGCUGAAACUCAAAGGAAUUGACGGGGGCCCGCACAAGCGGUGGAGCAUGUGGUUUAAUUCGAAGCAACGCGAASAACCUUACCAGGUCUUGACAUCCUCUGACAACCCUAGAGAUAGGGCUUCUCCUUCGGGAGCACGAGAUGACAGAGUGGUGCAUGUUGUCCUCAGCUCUGUCCUCGAGAUGUUUGGGUUAAAUCCCGCAACGAGCCGCAACCCUUG
This 605-nucleotide ribosomal RNA is filed under the name Nanobacterium sp. nanoH. Its description in RNAcentral is "bacterial SSU rRNA". It matches the Rfam family "Bacterial small subunit ribosomal RNA", at positions 513 to 1107 of the family's 1533-position model. The record is from RNAcentral.